UAAUAAGAAGGCCCAAGAGCCACACAGGGAGGGCUAUCGAAAGUCAAUCCAGAGCUAGAUACAGGAACACCAGAGAAAAGAUUGAGGAAGCCAACACAAAGCUAUAUAGUGGCCAAAGCAGCUAACAUACUACCAACUUAUAUAUCAAAUAAAAAAGCAUUACAACUUAAGAGACAGAGACAGCAAAGAAGAAAAUACAACCACACAGAAAGUCAGCUUACGAAGUUAAGUGCCUGCAUAGCCAAAAAAGGUAGCAGUGUGGGUUAGCCUGAUCUACCAGACAGAGAACUCCAGAACCUGGAAGCCACCACACAGAAGGCCCCAUCAGAUGUCCUUCCAAAGGAGGCAGGAUGUGGAUAACUUCAAAUGGCAUCAGAGAUGGCCAGAUUCAAUCAGAGCUACAACUAAGAAACAAAGUUAGUUUGGCCUGGUCUUCCAGGGUUUUUAACUGUUAUAAAUGCUUCAAUUGUUAAUUGGUUUUAUGUUGUUUUUAUAGUUUUGAUUUUAAUUGUUAACUUAUAUUAAUUGUUUUAUUUUUAUCUAAAGCGCCCUGAGCCAUUUUUGGAAUGGCAGCAACAAAAUCAAAAUAAAAUCAAAAUAAAAUAAUA
Long non-coding RNA from Hemicordylus capensis (graceful crag lizard), 608 nucleotides. RefSeq lists it as uncharacterized. The record is from RefSeq and is a predicted model, not a curated record. NCBI's taxonomy places the organism in Eukaryota, Metazoa, Chordata, Lepidosauria, Squamata, Cordylidae. The transcript has 3 exons.